RNAcentral lists this ribosomal RNA (333 nucleotides) under uncultured eukaryote. Its description in RNAcentral is "partial 18S ribosomal RNA". It matches the Rfam family "Eukaryotic small subunit ribosomal RNA", at positions 1470 to 1796 of the family's 1831-position model. The record is from RNAcentral.
CCCUUAGAUGUUCUGGGCUGCACGCGCGCUACACUGAUGCGCUCAACGAGUUUAUGACCUUGCCCGGAAGGGUUGGGUAAUCUUUUCAAAACGCAUCGUGAUGGGGAUAGAUUAUUGCAAUUAUUAAUCUUCAACGAGGAAUUCCUAGUAAGCGCGAGUCAUCAGCUCGUGCUGAUUACGUCCCUGCCCUUUGUACACACCGCCCGUCGCUACUACCGAUUGAACGGUUUAGUGAGGGCCUCGGAUUGGUCUCGGCCCGCUCUUCACCGGGCGGCGCCGUUGGUCGAGAAGACGCUCGAACUUGAUCGUUUAGAGGAAGUAAAAGUCGUAACA